This 234-nucleotide ribosomal RNA is filed under the name uncultured Candidatus Saccharibacteria bacterium. Its description in RNAcentral is "partial 16S ribosomal RNA". It matches the Rfam family "Bacterial small subunit ribosomal RNA", at positions 584 to 818 of the family's 1533-position model. The record is from RNAcentral. Lineage: Bacteria; Candidatus Saccharimonadota.
UAAGCAGAGUGUGAAGCGUACGGCUCAACCGUAUAUACAUGUUCUGAACUGGUAAACUAGAGGAUGAGAGAGGUUAAUGGAAUUGCUAGUGUAGGAGUGAAAUCCGUAGAUAUUAGCAGGAACACCGAUGGCGUAGGCAGAUAACUGGCUCAUACCUGACACUAAGGCACGAAAGCGUGGGGAGCGAACGGGAUUCGAUACCCCGGUAGUCCACGCCGUAAACGAUGGAUGCUA